RNAcentral lists this long non-coding RNA (1151 nucleotides) under Cicer arietinum (chickpea). RNAcentral's name for it is "long non-coding RNA (CARI_LNC002777)". The record is from RNAcentral. Lineage: Eukaryota; Viridiplantae; Streptophyta; Magnoliopsida; Fabales; Fabaceae.
CAAGUAUACGUCGAUAUCAUUCCCCGGUUGUUUGGGUCCAGAAAUUAACAGAGACAACAUCAUAAACUUACGCUUCAUACAUAACCAUGGAGGUAAGUUAUAUAUUACCAAAAUCACAGGCCACGUGCUAUGUGAGAUGCUUUGAAGACCAUGUGGAUUCAUUCCAUCAGUAGAAAGUGCAAGUCUUAGAUUUCUUGACUCUAUCCCGAAUUCAGGAUACUCGUGAUCAAUUUUUGCCCAUUGUGGGGAAUCUGCAGGGUGUCGAAACAUUCCAUCUCUAAUUCUUUCAUCUGCAUGCCAUGUCAAGUGUUUUGAAUCUUCUUCACUGCGAUACAUGCGCCUAAAUCUUGGUAUUAUAGGAAAAUACCACACAACUUUUGCUGGAGUAGAUUCUUUCUUCUUAUAUCGAGAGACAUUGCAUUUCGGACACGCCUUAAGUAGUUCAUAUUCGUUUCGAAAUAAAAUGCAAUCGUUAGGACACGCAUGAAUCCUUUCGUAACUCAUUCCAAUAGAACACAAAAUCCGUUUAGCCUCGUAGGUUCGACUGGGAAGUUCAUUAUCAUCUGGCAACAUAUCUUUUAUGAGUGUUAAUAAUUCCGUAAAGCUUUUAUCAGACCAUCCAUUACUCGCUUUUAAGUUGUACAACUUUAAUAUCGCUGACAGUCUUGUGAAUUUAGUACAACCAUUAUAUAAUUCUUUCUCUGCAUCACUCAACAAACUUUGGGUCCAGAAAUUAACAGAGACAACGUCAUAAACUUACGCUUCAUACAUAACCAUGGAGGUAGGUUAUAAAUCAACAAAAUCACAAGCCACGUGCUGUGUGAGAUGCUUUGAAGAUCAUAUGGAUUCAUUCCACCAGUAGAAAGUGCAAGUCUUAGGUUUCUUGGCUCUAUCCCGAAUUCAGGAUACUCGUGAUCAAUUUUUGCCCAUUGUGGGGAAUCUGCAGGGUGUCGAAACUUUCCAUCACUAAUUAUUUCAUCUGGAUGCCAUGCCAAGUGUUUGAAUCUUCUUCACUGCGAUACAUGCGCCUAAAUCUUGGUAUUAUAGGAAAAUACCACACGACUUUUGCUGGAGUAGAUUCUUUCUUCUUAUAUCGAGAGACAUUGCAUUUCGGACACACCUUAAGUAAUUCAUAUUCGUUUCGAAAUAAA